AAUAGAUACCAGGUAGUCCAUGCCGUAAACGUUGGGCACUAGGUGUGGGGGACAUUCCACGUUUUCCGCGCCGUAGCUAACGCAUUAAGUGCCCCGCCUGGGGAGUACGGCCGCAAGGCUAAAACUCAAAGGAAUUGACGGGGGCCCGCACAAGCGGCGGAGCAUGCGGAUUAAUUCGAUGCAACGCGAAGAACCUUACCAAGGCUUGACAUGAACCGGAAAGAUCUGGAAACAGGUCCCCCACUUGUGGUCGGUUUACAGGUGGUGCAUGGUUGUCGUCAGCUCGUGUCGUGAGAUGUUGGGUUAAGUCCCGCAACGAGCGCAACCCUCGUUCUAUGUUGCCAGCACGUGAUGGUGGGGACUCAUAGGAGACUGCCGGGGUCAACUCGGAGGAAGGUGGGGACGACGUCAAAGUCAUCAUGCCCCUUAUGUCUUGGGCUUCACGCAUGCUACAAUGGCCGGUACAAAGGGUUGCGAUACUGUGAGGUGGAGCUAAUCCCAAAAAGCCGGUCUCAGUUCGGAUUGGGGUCUGCAACUCGACCC
RNAcentral lists this ribosomal RNA (543 nucleotides) under uncultured bacterium. Its description in RNAcentral is "bacterial SSU rRNA". It matches the Rfam family "Bacterial small subunit ribosomal RNA", at positions 777 to 1318 of the family's 1533-position model. The record is from RNAcentral.